CGCGACCUUACUUGAACAGGAUCUGUUCUAUAGGUUUGUACCUCUGUAUUCUUGAAUUCUAAGGAGACAGGAAACCAAGUCUGAUUGAGGAUGUAUGUCCACAUGACUAGAGCGUGAUUAACAGCACCCUGGCCCUGGUUCAGGGUCAUCGGGGCAGUAGAGGAUCGUUCUCAGUUGGGUAUGCUCGGCUGGGAUGGUCAGGUGGUGGUCUGACAGAC
This 218-nucleotide small nucleolar RNA is filed under the name Olea europaea subsp. europaea. It matches the Rfam family "Plant small nucleolar RNA U3". Rfam says of the family: Small nucleolar RNAs (snoRNAs) are involved in the processing and modification of rRNA in the nucleolus. There are two main classes of snoRNAs: the box C/D class, and the box H/ACA class. Lineage: Eukaryota; Viridiplantae; Streptophyta; Magnoliopsida; Lamiales; Oleaceae. The record is from RNAcentral.